This 244-nucleotide unclassified non-coding RNA is filed under the name Hevea brasiliensis (rubber tree). The record is from RNAcentral. Lineage: Eukaryota; Viridiplantae; Streptophyta; Magnoliopsida; Malpighiales; Euphorbiaceae.
GUCAUUACUCGUUACUUUUCAGUCCAACACAUGGGCAGUGCCGAGAUUUCAAGAUUCAACAGACCCUGCCCCAAUAACUUAAUAAAACACCAAAUAUUCCAAACAAGCACAAAGAAUGGUGAAAACAUUGCUGUUAAAUUUGAAAGUUUAAGUUGUAUAAUUUUGCAAGUUAGAAGCAUGUAAACAAUUAAAAACGUACACUAACUUGGAAUCAAGUAAAAUAAAGUUAAAAUCAUAAUUUCAA